This 216-nucleotide ribosomal RNA is filed under the name Glomeromycotina sp. Its description in RNAcentral is "partial small subunit ribosomal RNA". The stretch from base 87 to 216 matches the Rfam family "Eukaryotic small subunit ribosomal RNA", at positions 733 to 864 of the family's 1831-position model. The record is from RNAcentral. Lineage: Eukaryota; Fungi; Glomeromycota.
GGGUCAGUAGGUUGGUCGUGCCACCGGUACGUACUGGUCUCACUGAUUCCUCCUUCCUGAAGAACCGUAAUGCCAUUAACUUGGUGUUGCGGGGAAACAGGACUGUUACUUUGAAAAAAUUAGAGUAUUUAAAGCAAGCUAACGCUUGAAUACAUUAGCAUGGAAUAAUGAAAUAGGACGAUCGAUCCUAUUUUGUUGGUUUCUAGGAUUGACGUA